UAUACCCUGAAGCGUGUUGAUGGGUGGACUGUGGAUAAUAGAUUUAUACCCUGAAGCGUGUUGAUAGGUGGACUGUAGAUAAUAGAUUUAUACCCUGAAGCGUGUUGAUAGGUGGACUGUAGAUAAUAGAUUUAUACCCUGAAGCGUGUUGAUAGGUGGACUGUAGAUAAUAGAUUUAUACCCUGAAGCGUGUUGAUAGGUGGACUGUGGAUAAUAGAUUUAUACCCUGAAGCGUGUUGAUAGGUGGACUGUGGAUAAUAGAUUUAUACCCUGAAGCGUGUUGAUAGGUGGACUGUAGAUAAUAGAUUUAUACCCUGAAGCGUGUUGAUAGGUGGACUGUAGAUAAUAGAUUUAUACCCUGAAGCGUGUUGAUAGGUGGACUGUAGAUAAUAGAUUUAUACCCUGAAGCGUGUUGAUGGGUGGACUGUAGAUAAUACAUUUAUACCCUGAAGCGUGUUGAUAGGUGGACUGUAGAUAAUAGAUUUAUACCCUGAAGCGUGUUG
Oncorhynchus keta (chum salmon) is the source of this 503-nucleotide long non-coding RNA. RefSeq lists it as uncharacterized. NCBI's taxonomy places the organism in Eukaryota, Metazoa, Chordata, Actinopteri, Salmoniformes, Salmonidae. The transcript has 3 exons. The record is from RefSeq and is a predicted model, not a curated record.